This 454-nucleotide ribosomal RNA is filed under the name uncultured bacterium. RNAcentral's name for it is "bacterial SSU rRNA". It matches the Rfam family "Bacterial small subunit ribosomal RNA", at positions 340 to 786 of the family's 1533-position model. The record is from RNAcentral.
UACGGGAGGCAGCAGUGGAGAAUAUUGCACAAUGGGCGCAAGCCUGAUGCAGCCAUGCCGCGUGUAUGAAAAAGGCCUUCGGGUUGUAAAGUACUUUCAGUCGUGAGGAAGGUGUUAAGGUUAAUAACCUUAGCAAUUGACGUUAGCGACAGAAGAAGCACCGGCUAACUCCGUGCCAGCAGCCGCGGUAAUACGGAGGGUGCGAGCGUUAAUCGGAAUUACUGGGCGUAAAGGGCACGCAGGCGGUUAAUUAAGUUGGAUGUGAAAUCCCCGGGCUUAACCUGGGAAUGGCAUUCAAGACUGGUUAGCUAGAGUCUUGUAGAGGGGGUAGAAUUCCAUGUGUAGCGGUGAAAUGCGUAGAGAUGUGGAGGAAUACCGGUGGCGAAGGCGGCCCCUGGACAAAGACUGACGCUCAUGUGCGAAAGCGUGGGGAGCGAAACAGGGAUUAGAUACC